This 468-nucleotide ribosomal RNA is filed under the name uncultured bacterium. RNAcentral's name for it is "partial 16S ribosomal RNA". It matches the Rfam family "Bacterial small subunit ribosomal RNA", at positions 28 to 507 of the family's 1533-position model. The record is from RNAcentral.
GACGAACGCUGGCGGCGUGCUUAACACAUGCAAGUCGAACGGAAAGGCCCUGCUUUUGUGGGGUGCUCGAGUGGCGAACGGGUGAGUAACACGUGAGUAACCUGCCCUUGACUUUGGGAUAACUUCAGGAAACUGGGGCUAAUACCGGAUAGGAGCUCCUGCUGCUUGGUGGGGGUUGGAUGGUUUCGGCGGUUGGGGAUGGACUCGCGGCUUAUCAGCUUGUUGGUGGGGUAGUGGCUUAGCAAGGCCUUGACGGGCAGCAGGCCUGAGAGGGUGACCGGCCACAUUGGGACUGAGAUACGGCCCAGACUCCUACGGGAGGCAGCAGUGGGGAAUAUUGCACAAUGGGCGGAAGCCUGAUGUAGCAACGCCGCGUGCGGGAUGACGGCCUUCGGGUUGUAAACCGCUUUCGCCUGUGACGAAGCGUGAGUGACGGUAAUGGGUAAAGAAGCACCGGCUAACUACGUG